AUUGAACGCUGGCGGCAGGCCUAACACAUGCAAGUCGAGCGAGCGGCGGACGGGUGCGUAAUGUAUGGGGACUGCCCGAUAGAGGGGGAUAACUACUGGAAACGGUAGCUACUACCGCAUACUAUCGGAUAACCCAUAUGGGAUUAGCUAGUAGGUGUGGUAAUGGCUCACCUAGGCGACGAUCCCUAUCUGGUCUGAGAGGAUGAUCAGCCACACUGGGACUGAGACACGGCCCAGACUCCUAGGGAGGCAGCAGUGGGGAAUAUUGCACAAUGGGCGAAAGCCUGGUGCAGCCAUGCCGCGUGUAUGAAGAAGGCCCUAGGGUUGUAAAGUACUUUCAGUAGGGAGGCGGUACCGACAGAAGAAGCACCGGCUAACGCCGUGCCAGCAGCCGCGGUAAUAC
RNAcentral lists this ribosomal RNA (403 nucleotides) under uncultured bacterium. RNAcentral describes it as "partial 16S ribosomal RNA". It matches the Rfam family "Bacterial small subunit ribosomal RNA", at positions 30 to 526 of the family's 1533-position model. The record is from RNAcentral.